This 500-nucleotide ribosomal RNA is filed under the name uncultured Actinomycetes bacterium. RNAcentral describes it as "bacterial SSU rRNA". It matches the Rfam family "Bacterial small subunit ribosomal RNA", at positions 134 to 631 of the family's 1533-position model. The record is from RNAcentral. Lineage: Bacteria; Bacillati; Actinomycetota; Actinomycetes.
GGCUUCGGGAUAGCCCCGGGAAACCGGGAUUAAUACCGGAUAUGACCAGGGAGGGCAUCCUUUCUGGUGGAAAGGUUCCCUUCUCGUGAGGGAGGGGUUCUGGCUGGGGAUGGGCUCGCGGCCUAUCAGCUUGUUGGUGGGGUGAUGGCCUACCAAGGCGACGACGGGUAGCUGGUCUGAGAGGACGAUCAGCCACACUGGGACUGAGACACGGCCCAGACUCCUACGGGAGGCAGCAGUGGGGAAUCUUGCGCAAUGGGCGAAAGCCUGACGCAGCAACGCCGCGUGCGGGAUGAAGGCCUUCGGGUCGUAAACCGCUUUCAGUGGGGACGAAUCCAGACGGUACCCACAGAAGAAGCCCCGGCCAACUACGUGCCAGCAGCCGCGGUAACACGUAGGGGGCGAGCGUUGUCCGGAUUCAUUGGGCGUAAAGAGCUCGUAGGCGGGCUCAGCAAGUCGGGUGUGAAAACUCCAGGCUCAACCUGGAGACGCCACCCGAU